UGACACCAAAAUCUAACUAAAAUUUUAAUGAAAAUUUAUGCGAAAAAUCAUGUAUAUAAAUAAAUAUCUAAUGUGAAAAUCGUCAAAUAAAUUUUAUAUUUAAAAUUCUUUACUCAAAAUAACAUGUUUAGGUAAAGCUAAAUACAAAAAUAUUUGAUUCGCCAUUCUACCUUCCACGUGCCUCCGACCUUCGAAACCUGAAAAUGUUAAAUAUGAGAUCAGCAUAUAAAAUAUACUCAGUGUGGGAACAUGCAAUUAUUGUCCAAGUUAAUAAAACGGUAACACACACGGCCAUUUCAUACAUAUCCUCAAUAUUCGCACUGUGGCAAUCCAAGGACUUUAAAGUCCCGGACCCAAUUUACAGGCCCCUGGCGACAUCCUCAAUAUAAUAGUUGCAACCCUUUAACAUGUAAUCGCAUUGUGGCAAUCCAAUGACAUUUCCGUUUUGGACCCUAUUUACGGACCUCUAGCGAUACAUAACCUCAAAUCGUAUUGUGGCAAUCCAAGGACGUCUGUGAUGUCCUGGACCCUAUUUACGGGCCCCUGGCGAUAAAUGUAAUUCAUAACACAUAUGGUAAACACGUAAUAUUAAAAUGGACGAUAAUUAACCACGAGCAUGUAUUUAAAUAAAUCUCACACCUGAAAUUUGAACUUGACAGGUAAUUCUGAUAAUUCAAAUUAAAAUCCAUGUCCUAGUCGCACCGCACCUAGUAAAAAAAUUCAAAUAAUUUCAUAAUUAAAGACUUAAAGGUAGAUUUAAAAUAAAACAAUCUUAGCUAAAAUAAAUAAUUACUAUAUAUUAUUGGAAAAUUUUCUUUUUUAUUAAAGAAAUAUAAAUUUUAAAUCUAAGAAGUUUAUUGAAAAAAUUAAAGAUCUAGUAAUUUGGCAAAAUAACUUGCUACGAGAAAAUGGUUAUAAUUAUUUUAUAAUUAAUUAUUUGUUAUUCUAUUAUAAAACUAGUUUCUUAACUAUAAAUCAAGUAUCAAAAUUGAAUAAAAGAAAUUAAGCUCAAAAGAUAAUUCGAUGGGUAUUGGAUUUAAAAAAAACAAGCAAUUGUAGGAGUUUAUGGCUAUGAUUCUGCGUAAAGGAAAAAUAGAAGAAAAUAGUUGUUGUAUUAAUAUGAAAUUGCAUAGAUUCACUGGAAUAUAAUUAAAUUACCGGUAGAAACUCAGCAAUGUAAUGAACAGUAUGUGUUAUGUGGUGAAAGGAGCAGAACAAAAAGUCAAGUGUUUGUGUUGCUG
RNAcentral lists this long non-coding RNA (1241 nucleotides) under Salvia miltiorrhiza (redroot sage). RNAcentral's name for it is "long non-coding RNA (SMIL_LNC004625)". The record is from RNAcentral. Lineage: Eukaryota; Viridiplantae; Streptophyta; Magnoliopsida; Lamiales; Lamiaceae.